This 23-nucleotide small nuclear RNA is filed under the name Arabidopsis thaliana (thale cress). RNAcentral's name for it is "snRNA_15416". Lineage: Eukaryota; Viridiplantae; Streptophyta; Magnoliopsida; Brassicales; Brassicaceae. The record is from RNAcentral.
AACCAAAUUAAAAUAUUGAGAUU